AUUCAGACGAUGAACAAGAGGAGUACGUGAGAAGCGAAGUUUAAGAGAGAAGAUGCAUGGCUGAGACAUCUUUACUUUGGCUCAUGGAAGGUAGCUUGGGAGUUUGCGAUCUGAAGCAAGUAAGAGCGCACGGCACAUGACCGUUAGAGCAUGUUUGAGCGGCAGAAGUCUUUUCUGCAAUUUAGGUGGUACCGCGUAAUUUACGUCCUAGAA
This 213-nucleotide non-coding RNA is filed under the name Enterococcus sp. Its description in RNAcentral is "T-box sequence". It matches the Rfam family "T-box leader". Rfam says of the family: Uncharged tRNA acts as the effector for transcription antitermination of genes in the T-box leader family. Lineage: Bacteria; Bacillati; Bacillota; Bacilli; Lactobacillales; Enterococcaceae. The record is from RNAcentral.